GACGAACGCUGGCGGCGUGCUUAACACAUGCAAGUCGAACGCUGAAGCUUGGUGCUUGCACUGGGUGGAUGAGUGGCGAACGGGUGAGUAAUACGUGAGUAACCUGCCCUUGACUCUGGGAUAAGCCUGGGAAACUGGGUCUAAUACUGGAUACGACAUGUCACCGCAUGGUGGUGUGUGGAAAGGGUUUUACUGGUUUUGGAUGGGCUCACGGCCUAUCAGCUUGUUGGUGGGGUAGUGGCUCACCAAGGCGACGACGGGUAGCCGGCCUGAGAGGGUGACCGGCCACACUGGGACUGAGACACGGCCCAGACUCCUACGGGAGGCAGCAGUGGGGAAUAUUGCACAAUGGGCGGAAGCCGGAUGCAGCGACGCCGCGUGAGGGAUGACGGCCUUCGGGUUGUAAACCUCUUUCAGCACGGAAGAAGCGAAAGUGACGGUACGUGCAGAAGAAGCGCCGGCUAACUACGUG
RNAcentral lists this ribosomal RNA (472 nucleotides) under uncultured bacterium. RNAcentral's name for it is "partial 16S ribosomal RNA". It matches the Rfam family "Bacterial small subunit ribosomal RNA", at positions 28 to 507 of the family's 1533-position model. The record is from RNAcentral.